RNAcentral lists this ribosomal RNA (467 nucleotides) under uncultured bacterium. Its description in RNAcentral is "partial 16S ribosomal RNA". It matches the Rfam family "Bacterial small subunit ribosomal RNA", at positions 27 to 507 of the family's 1533-position model. The record is from RNAcentral.
GGAUGAACGCUGGCGGCGUGCUUAACACAUGCAAGUCGAACGGAAAGGCUCCUGCUUGCAGGGGUACUCGAGUGGCGAACGGGUGAGUAACACGUGGGUGAUCUGCCCUGCACUUCGGGAUAAGCCUGGGAAACUGGGUCUAAUACCGGAUAGGACGAUGGUUUGGAUGCCAUUGUGGAAAGUUUUUUCGGUGUGGGAUGAGCUCGCGGCCUAUCAGCUUGUUGGUGGGGUAAUGGCCUACCAAGGCGUCGACGGGUAGCCGGCCUGAGAGGGUGUACGGCCACAUUGGGACUGAGAUACGGCCCAGACUCCUACGGGAGGCAGCAGUGGGGAAUAUUGCACAAUGGGCGCAAGCCUGAUGCAGCGACGCCGCGUGGGGGAUGACGGCCUUCGGGUUGUAAACUCCUUUCGCUAGGGACGAAGCGCAAGUGACGGUACCUGGAGAAGAAGCACCGGCUAACUACGUG